RNA transcript from Pomacea canaliculata, 3762 nucleotides. RefSeq lists it as uncharacterized. The record is from RefSeq and is a predicted model, not a curated record. NCBI's taxonomy places the organism in Eukaryota, Metazoa, Mollusca, Gastropoda, Architaenioglossa, Ampullariidae. The transcript is spliced from 21 exons.
AAUGCCGCAUCUGUAAUGACCAAAGCACCGACAAAUCAAUUUGUUAAUAAUUCACCCUUAUAAUUAAUUAAAUAUAAUUAUUAUAUCUAUAAUAAAAGUACCAUCAGAUGGUAUAUGGCUGAUGCUGUGAGGUGCCUAUACUUGUGGAGUGCACAAAUGGUUGCUAUAAAUAAACACAAAACGAAGUGGAGGGUGUAGGAACGAGAGAAUGAAGCUCUAGAGAGAAAAAACUUGAAACAAAGCUGAGAGAGGAAAUAAGAAAAAAUAAUAAUAAAACGAAGAAAAGAAGAAAAACAACAACUGUAAGAAUGGAAAAAAUAGGUAUUUCACAUGUCACUCAAGGUCCAGUGUAUCGAAACCUAAUUUAAUUUACAGGUUCAAGUGGAUGAUGGUGACCGAAAAGCGGUGUGUUACUCUCUCAAUGACCCCCACCUGAGAACAUUUGACGGAACUUUUUACGACAACCAAAUCAGCGGUGAAUACGUGCUGUUUCGCCACCAAGAGCUGCCCUACGAGGUGCGAGGGUUCUACCAGCCUUGUGGCCAGGUUCCACGAUGCAACUGUGGCGCCGCGGUGCGUGUGGACGCCAGCGUCAUUCGGCUGACGGCCUGCGUGCCAGGGGAGGGUAUUCACGUCCAGGUGUUUGGAGUCGGGGAGCUGCAGGCGGGCACUGCGGUCCGACGAUACGACGGCGGCGACAGAUACGAGGUUACGUUGCCAACAGGAUCCCGACUUCUCGUCAGAAUGGGAGCAAAGAACUUUAUCAACUUGUGGUUUUACCCUUCACCGCUAGACGAGCAGAAGACAGAAGGUCUCUGUGGCACCUAUGACAACAACUCCACCAACGAUUUCAAGCUUUCUUCAGGCUCUACUGUCACUGUUGAGAAUCUUGCAGCAUUUUUGGAAGACUGGAGAGUCAACGCAUCGGACAGCCUCUACAACGGCCUGUGUCCAUCAAAGACGAGAUCAACCGAGAAACUCAAUGUCCAAUCGUUUUCUCAAUGCCAGUCACGUGAUGCUGCAGGGCAGUUCAGGGGUACGAGUAGUCUUCAAUGCAACCUUCUUCAAAACUACGAUACAGAAUAUCUGAUCACAGACGUCUUAACAAAGCUGUCCGUGCCGCCAGAAAACUGUCUGACUAGUCUGCCUGCUAUUAACCCUUUCGAAUACAACAUCACAUCGUCAUCUCCGAUUAACAUCACUUGGCCUAAAGGAUGGAAUGAAACUACUGCCCGCCAGUUUUGUGAAGAGACCUUAAGAUCAUCCUAUGUCACACGAGUUUGUGGGGGCGUCGUCAACUGGCUGGACCUUGACCCAGUCAGAAUAAGCGAUUGUGCAUCAGAUAUCAAGCUGACUGGUGAAGGAGCUUGGGCUGGUGUUCUGGAGGCGGUCUUGGAGGAAGAUUGUCGUUACCAGGUGCAGUGGAACCAAACGCUCCGGACGACCAGCGAAUCACAAGCGACUGUUCUGUCUGCCCUCUGCCCCAGCAACUGCUCUGGCAAUGGAGUGUGCGACAAAGGUGUAUGCCGCUGCAAUCAAGGUUUCAUUGGUGCGAAAUGCUCGGAGAAAGCAACAGUGGCCCCAACACUGAGCAGACUUGAAAACAAAGGCAUCUGCAACUCCCUGACCAGCGACUGUUCUUCUGUUGAAGUCUUUGGACUUACCUUUGUAGCAAGUGAAGCGCUUUCAUGCUUCAUCAAACCAUUGUCGGUUGGUCCCACUGGCUAUAAUGUGACAUCAAACUGGACCACAGCUAAGGCCACCUUCAUCAGUGAUACUCACGUGCUGUGCUCCUUGCCUGCAGUGAGCAAGCAGCCGGGGGGCUACCUGAUUAGCGUUGCCAACACUGCCGGCUACUUGAGCGAACCCCUCCUGAUGCUCGUCUUCAAUCCCUUCUGCUUUACAUGCAACACUGUGUAUGGCAACUGCUCGCAAAAGUUAAACACCUGCGUGAUAGACAACACCUGCUACCUCAACAACACCAUCAACCCAAGCAACCAUACCCAGAUGUGCCUCUCCGGUGUCAGCCCCAUCUCAUGGACCUUUAGUGCUUCACCUUGCACGAAAGGUGUAGUGUGGACAGAGGUCGUAGGUCAGGGAUUCGCUCUACACAACCAUCUCAGGCUGAGUAACAUUACAACGCUGGACGCCUGCAAGACCCAAUGUCUAGCACAGCCGGACUUCCUGUGCCGGUCAAUAGACUACGACAGCGACAACCACCUGUGCAUGUUGUCCAAGUAUCGACUCAGCGACGCCACAGAAUAUGCGCUCAAAUUUGAGGCCAAGAUCUCGCACUUCGACUGGUCCUGUACUGAUGAUCGGUUGCAACAACUCGUACGUGACAUGGGAUAGGUUUGCGAACUCCGCAACUGUUGAGAACAAUCUCCAGAUUUUCCAGGAUACCUGGAUGGAAGAAGAAUGUCGUCUCCUAUGCUUAGCAAACCAAGCGUGCACGGCAAUCAAGCACAGCCCUCGCCAAGGAGUGUGCAUUCUGACGUCAUCAACUAACGGGACCUUGCAGAGCACACCGCGGUGGAACUUCGCUCAGUUCUCUUGUAAACCAAAGCCAAUCAGCGACAGGUCAAAGCUCGCCGUAACUGAGGCAAGCGUCUGGUCGGACUUCCAGGGGCCGGGCAAAGACAGCUUCCGGUGCGCCUUCAGCAAGCUGUCCUCAAGUGACCUCCGAUAUGACGUACUCUGGAAUGUUGAUGGCUUGUGGAUCUACGAAGACGUCACGGAAAGCAGCCAGUCCAGUGACGUUCUUCCUGCCAGCCGAGCCACGCUGCGAGAAGGAUCCAAGCUUGCAUGCGCUGUGAGUGUUUGCAAUAACGCCACUUGCGAGGACACAAGGGGACCCUUGACCAUCUCGGACACCUAUACUGCGCAAGUCAAGAUUGAUGGAGCUACAAACAUGACACUGAGAGAAGGGGACGAGGGACAGAUAAUCACCCUUCAGGCCACAGCACCGCCGUACGUCUUGUGCAGAGGAAAAGUGAACGCAUCAGACGAAUGCUCAAUAAAAUUUCAAGUUAUCGUCAGCGAGGUCGACAAACGAGUUGUCUGUCCUUCGGGAGGCAGCUUACCCAGGUGGUGGUGCAGGUCACGAAGGGCCAGGAGCAAGUAACCAUGUGUGACGUGACGCUGAGCAACAAGGCGUGGCAGGAGGCUUUUACCAUGCUGGUCAAGGCCACUAUAGACCACUUGUACGACGGCGACCACGUGACCAGCCUGACCAUCAUACGUCAGAACAGCGCGCGAAACGAAACAAAGCAGGACACACUGAUUUCAAGCAAGAUCUGGGUACUGGAUGGUGAUACUUCAGCACUUUGUACAUCUAUCAACGACCCCACACAUAACAACAUUCGACGGACGAUACUAUAAUAACUACAUGGAAGGUUCCUUUGUCCUCUACCGCAACCGGCACUUUGACCAAGAGGUUCAAGUGUACUACCGCCGAUGUGGAAGCGCCGCUUCUUGCAAUUGCGCAGUGGCCGCCAGGGCCGGAAAUGACGUCGUGGUUAUAGACAAGUGUGGGCCGUUCACUAAACAAAGUCUCGCCUUUUACCCGCUUACCGUGCGUCUCUUCCGAAACGGGCUGCUCACACCUGGUCUUCAGGUGUUCAGUCGCUACGAGGGACGAGAAUUCACGAUUUCCCUUGGCACGGGCACCAAGGUCUUUGUUAGACGCAGUGUAAUCAAGGGUUACAACUACCUCAAUGUCUGGGUGAAACCAUCAGGAGCAGACUUCAACAGGACAGAAGG